Molecule: long non-coding RNA, 5013 nt
Filed under: Actinidia chinensis (golden kiwifruit)
Lineage: Eukaryota; Viridiplantae; Streptophyta; Magnoliopsida; Ericales; Actinidiaceae
Description: long non-coding RNA (ACHI_LNC008852)
Source: RNAcentral
AUUCUUCCUUAAUUUCUCUUCCAAAAAUCUCAUUUCUUUCUUUUAUGAAUCUUGUUUUAUAUUAAUGUUCGUUUAAUUUUUUUUAUCAGUAAAUUAAAAUUGGCGGUUUAUAGUCUCGGGAAGAUUGAUUAGAGGCGGCUCAAGUCUAUUUGAGGCGAAAGGCAAAAAAUCUUGGUGAGGACGUCCUCCAUACAGUUUUAUAGUAUAAUUAAAUUCUAUUUUAAUUUUUCUUUACUUUUCGAGGUAGGAAUUAGUAAUUAAGUUAUAUUCAUUUAAGCUUUUAAAUGUCAUAGUACGACAACUCCAUUGAAUCUCAUUUGUGACAUAGUAGAUCUUAAAUUUAUUAAAUAAUUUUACUUUUGAAGAUUAAUUUUACUCAGGUGGGUUAAGAUGAAAACUCCUUUAAAGGUAACUUUGCCGGUAAAAAUCUUGAUUUUGUGUUCAAGAAGUCAUCAGUUCGAAUUCCCUCAUAGUCAUUGAAGAUUUGCUCAACCGGUAACUUCAUGACUCGUAAAUUAGUCUCUCACACCAAGUGAGUUGGAUGAGAUACUAAGCUCUAGAAAAAAAAAAGAUGGGUGGAGAUUAAGUCCACCCUCAUAUAUAUCAUAGGCUUACAUAAAAAUCUAAUGUAAUGUUUGAAUCAACGAAAAUAGAAAAUGUAGAUGAUCUAAUUAUCUCAAACGGUUGAAUCCCAAACACUAUCACAUGUUUAGCCUAAUUAGGAUGUACUAACACUAUCACACGUUGAGAGAGAGAGAGAGAGUACUAACUCUAGCAAAUUAGAGAGAUGGUUAACUAAUCCACUAUGUGAUUUCUAAUUGCAGAGAGUACUAACUCUAGCAAAUUAGAGAGAUGGUUAACUAAUCCACUAUGUGAUUUCUAAUUGCGCUUAGGACAAUCCGUAAAAGGCCAAGUAACUUACUACAUACUGUACCUCACGUCACACCAAUUUUAAAGUCCAAGUUAAAAUCUUUUAAUCGAAAUUUAGUUAACUUAUUUUAGUUUUUUGAUUGAAUCUUUUUAUUUUUUAUGUUCGUCUUGAUUAGAAGAAUAAAAAAAUAUAAAAAAUAUUUACAAAAUAGCCACUAGAGAAUUAAGAUCAUCCACAUUAGUCUAUCUAAAUUUGAGUCAAAUUAUAACUCAAAAAUUAUAUUUUUUGACUUAGUCAUUUUUUAAACACUAACUCUAUCAGCAUCUUCGUUCUAGUUAUAUUUCAUUAGAAUAUUAAUCUUUACUAUUUUUUUGCUAUUUCAUUGUAUGGUGCAAGUUUUUUUUUUUUGCUAUGGCUUUAUUAUUGAAAUGGUCACAUUAUUUCAAUGGUGAUAUUUUUAAAAUAUUCAUAUUGUUCCAACAAUAUUAUUUUUUUAUAAAGUUGAUUUUUACGAUAAUUAUAUGAUUUAUAUUUUUAUCUGACCUCAUAAAAUAAUGCUAUGUGGCUCUUAAUUGAACAACAUAUAAAUGGAAGAGCCAAGUGUAUAGAGUUGAUUGAUACAAUUAGAAUUGAAAAAUGCAAAUAUAUAUAUAUAAAGUAAAAAUUUAAAGUGCAAAAUGUAAUUUAUGCAAAGAAUUUAACAUGUGAACAAUGCUUGGUCAAAAAAUACUGUAGCAAAACUAAAUAUAUAUAGGUUAUUUUGGCUAUUUUAAGGUGGACCAUUUUAAAAGUUUUGCUUGCUAAAGUAGCAAAAAAUAAAUUUUAUUAUAUUAUUAUAUAUAUAUCUAUUAGUAAAAGUUUAAAGUGCCAAAAUGUAAUUUAUGCAAGAAUUUAACAUGUGAAACAAGCUUGGUCAAAAAAUUACUGUAGCAAAACUAAACUAUAUAUAGGUUAUUUUGGCUAUUUUAAGGUGGACCAUUUUAAAAGUUUUGCUUGCUAAAGUAGAAACAAAAUCCAAAAAAUAAUUUUAUAUAUAUAUUAGAAAAAUUUAAAGUGCAAAAUGUAAUUUAUGCAAAGAAUUUAACUUUGUGAAACUGCUGGUCAAAAAUACUUAGCAAAAACUAAAUAUAUAUAGGUUAUUUUGGUAUUUUAAGGUGGACCAUUUAAAAAGUUUUGCUUGCUAAAGUAGCCAAAAAAUAAUUUGGCCAACUUGAUGUGAAUACUCUAACAAGACAAGAAGGGAAAAGUUUAAAAAAAAUACAAGAUGAAAAAAACUCAUUAGUAACAACAAAUGUAAUCCAACUUAAUAAAAAUUGAACUUAACAUCCCUCGACCUAAUGGCCGAUAAACCUCCAAUGCUUCUGAGAAAGCUCGAAUUGGCGAUUCUCUAAACACAAAGGAAGUAUAAGAUCUUUAACAGAAUUACAUUUGAGGGUUAUUAAAACCUAAUAAAUGUGUUUUUUUGGUAAUUAAGUAACCUAAUAAAUAUUAUUCUAAAUUAGUUUUGUUAACUAAAAAGCAAACUAUGAGUGUGUGUGUGUUUGAAAUAGGUUUGCUAUACUUAAUAACCAAUUAAAUGAUUUUAUCAAUGAACCUAAUAUGAAAUUCUAUUUAAUCAAAUUUAUAAAUAAACAAUAACGCAAUAAAGAGUAGAGAGAAGAGAUUGCAACUAUUUUAUAAUAGUUCGGUCAAACCGUGCCUACGUCCAAUUCUUCAAACCUUCCUUGUGAUAUCACUAUCUUCAACAAGUUUUCGGAUGCUUGCAAAACUUUACACACUAGAAUAUCUCUAGUCUUCAAGGGUCUUCUACUCUUGGAUCUCUCUCAAUCACACAAUGUGAUUCCUUCAAUGAUUUACAAUGAAUAAAGUAUUUAAACCUCACCUACUCUAGAUUGAAUGAUGAAUACAAUGAAAACUCUUCUUCACUAGAGUGAUACAGGUUUCUAUUUGUUUUGUUUUUAAUCAAAAAACUCACAAUGAAUGCACAAGAGAGAUUGAAGUAUUGAAUGCUAUCAAGGAAACAAGUUUUGAACAAUUUAAUAUCUCCCCAAUAACCUCAAAAGUUGAUUUUUUAAGCCCAAAAGUGAAUAGAGAUGUUGUAGCAUUUAAUACACUGAGAAGAGCCGUUGUGAUUUGAUCUCAGCCGUCAGAUCUAUGAUAAAAUUCAAAACUUCAGUUGUGCAAUUUCCAAAAUUCGAUCUAUCGAAGUUCAUCUUUGGUUGAUUUUGAACUGAAUUUCCAAUGGCUUUGUAAACUGCUUUGUUUUAUUUUCUCGAACUUCGGUCGUCCCCAAAAUUGGACUUCAGUCGAUUGUAGAUGAACUGCAUUUCUAGAGGCUUGCUCAAUUGGUUUGUUUUGUCUUUUAACUUCAGCUGUCCUAAGUUAAACAUUUGUCUGUGCUUGAACUUUGGCUGAACAACCCUGAACUUCGGUCAACUGAAGUUAGGGUUCGGUUAUCAAAAGCCUUCAUUACCAGAGAGUAUACCUUUGCAAAUAAUUUUUCAGAGUUCUUGGCUUUAGGCUGUGCUUGAACUUCGGUUUUGAAACUUCGGUCGUACCAAUUUCAACUUUCGGUCAACCGAAGUUUAACUUCAGUCAUAUUUCCAUUGUAUUUUCAGAGACCAAGUCUUGUUUCAUCAGGAUUCAGCUGAACUUUCUAGGCUUCGACUGUUACGUUUGGUUUGACCGAACUUUUGAUAGUAGGCUUAUUUUAUUUAACACAGUUAACAAUUUGAGCCGUUGAAAGUCUAUUUUUAGUUUGAGGAUUAAACUUUUGCUUUUAACACUUUUAUAUGCAUAUACACUUCAAAUAUGACUUGCAAGAAUUCACGAUAUCCAUUUUACUUAUGUGUAAAACCAUCUUUGAGACCAUUUGUUAUUUUUCAAUGAUUUUCAAUAAAAAUUAAGUCUCGACUUAUUUUUAAUCAAUUGUAAUCAUCAAAAUUUAUAAUUUUAUUUCAACAAUCUCCCCCUUUUUGAUGAUGAAAUAAUUUAUUUUGAAAAUCGAUGUUUUUGAUUUGUCUUUUGAUAAACUCCCCUUAAUUCAAUACUCCCCCUUACUUUAUGUCAAAAAAAAAUCUAAACAUAUUGAGCAUAAGAUGCAUGACAUAUAUUCUUUCCAUUCAUAGCAUACGUAACAAUUCAUGGCACUCUAAUAUAAAACACAAGUAGUAAGGCAUUCAUACUAAAAGAUUUAAUCAUUUAACCCAAAAGACUAAGAGUUCGAAAUUAAAAAAAAAAACUAAACAUCACUUAAAUCAAACUAUAUAAAAAACGACAACUUAGGAAACUAGUCAACUCUUCUGCCCCUUUGGGGCUUCAUCAAUAAGGAGGGCUGUGGUAGUAAGGAGAUCUAGGAGGGGCAUUGGCCGGAUUGAACGGUGGAGGAGGUGGAUGUGGUCUGAGAACAUUCCAUAGACCUUCCAAAUCAGCGUGGAUAUUAGAAAAUUGUUGCACAUAUUAUCAUGCAUGGUCUUGUAAAGGCUCCCAAGCCUCUCAACCCUUUGGCCUUGUUCCUCAUAAAAAUUUCCAAGCUGAUCAACUUGUUGCCUUAACUCAUGGUUUGUGUCCCCAAGCCUAUCCAUAUAUUCCUCAUGCCACCUUUGAUUUUGUAGAAUCUCUUGUUAUUGUUGCUUGAUUUCUCUUAAAGACGCUUGCAAUUCAACAACCCAAGCUGGCGGUUUCUCUUUGAGAUGGAUAUCCUCCAUGCUCGUCUUCUACAUGAACCCCCUCACGGACUCCCUCAUGUAUAUCCUCAUGAAUUUUCUCAUGGCUAUGCUCCACUCCACUCCAUGUCUCAUAUCUUGUUCCAUAUUUGGGUCUACGUAGGCUCCCUCAAUUUGAAGAGGAAUUUCAAGAUUUUCCUCAACAUCCAUGUCAUGGGCACCCUCAUUUCCCCUUUCUUCCUCUCUUUCUUCCUCACUUGAGCCAAGAUUUCUUCCUUUCUUUAUUGUGUUCAUGGAGAAUCAUUUACUAAGCCUUGGCUUGGUUGAUCAUUUAUACUUACGUGAAAGUGAAGAAAGAUUCUAGGAAGAAAAGCAACAAAUGAUAGAGCUCGAGUGUUAUGGUUUCUCAUAUCAGCCAUUUGUUUAAGUAUGAUGUAAUUUAGGUUCAACGGUUCUUCCAUUACGGCCUUAUAAAUG